UUUCUCUUCAUGCUUGGUUUCCUACAGAGCUUUCUGGACAUGGGCACAGGCCUUCUGUUAGCUCCUAUGACUGCUGUGCAAGAAAGAUCUUCAUAGCAGAUUUUACAUCCCAGUGAUUUGAGAAGUUGCAUUCAAAACAAGGGACAUACGCUCCUCCCAGAACAGAAUUUUUGUCUAUGGUGUUUUAAGAAAAAACAACCAGUUGCUCCAUCUGUCAGUAAACCUCUUCCAAGAAGAAGGAAAUAUCAACACAACACAAAAUGUGAUUGCCCUUUGAAAGCAAAAAAUACCAGGCAGUGUAACCUUUAGAUGCAGCACAUAAUGGGAGACAAUCAUCUGACAAAAAACAGAAGAGAGUUUGCAACUCUGACAUUUAUUUCCCCGUGAUUUAAAAGAAUGCACUGCUCAGCAUACACAGCUGCAGCCCUGCUUGUCCUGCUUUGUAACAGCCUUGCCCUGCUGGAACCACCUGAUGAUAGCAAAUUUCAGUCCUCUGGGUCACCUGCUCUACUGGGAUGGAGAAGCUAUCCGUAUUUUUGCAUGUAACACCAUCAGAGGUCCCUGACAUUUAAAUACAGACAACUCAUGAGGAUCCAGCCUUGGAGGAUGACCUUGUUGAACGCAGGUGGGAAUGGUGAGGACUUGCACCACUCCAAUGCUUUACUGAGUUUCAGUGGGAAAGUGGGAAGAAACAGUGAUGGGACUCUCAGUAAGGCCACAUAUGCAAGGUGCAGUCGAGACACCAGGUUGGGUUCUUUAGAACUGGCUCAGGAAAGGGAGCUUGCUGGCAUGCACUGUGCUCCCGCUGGUGUGCUCUAGAAAGUAUCUGGCCAUCAGGAGAGUUUCUCCUGAGCAGCAGAUGAUGUGAUGGAAAAAAAUAACAACUAAUGUUUUCAAUGGAGUGAAAAAGGCAAAGUGUGGUGGCAAUAAAAUAAAACCUUUGAACUCUGUAAUCGUGAAGCAAGCUACAUUUUUCACCGUGAGCAAAGAGCACGGCUCAAGGUUCACUUUGAAGCUAACUUCUCCCUUCUUUUCUUUUUUUUUCCCUUCCUUCCUUUUAACCUAGCUUAAACUUCAGGCUCACAGUAUCUGACAGUGUUUUUCUAAAUAAUGAAAGAGAGCCAUGCUAUCCAAGGCACUCCUGACGGGCAGUGUGAAGACAGACCUUCCUUCACACUGUGGCUUUUCUACCUAAACAGAUGGAAGUUCCCCUCCCUCCUGCUGCUUUCCAGCACUCCUUACAUCCUGCCCCCACAGGGAGCAGCUGAAUCCUGGCUUUUUACCAAGCUGGCCAAGGGCCGGAGGUGCUGUGCUGCCCUUCCUCUUCCAACCAUGGUGCCUGACUGCUUGUGCAGGCUGCCAGCCCUACAUCCCAGGUCUGUUUUGCUGCGAGGAGGGAUUGAGAAUCAAUGGCAGCAAGGAACAGAAUGGCAGCAAAACAGGGGGCAAAAGAAGAGGAUCCAUACUGGAAGGGAGGUGGGAUGGAACUGGGACUUGUUCCUGGGAAGAUUCUUUUCUUCCUUAGAUCAGACAGCAUCUGCUUCUUUAUUUUCUCUACCCUCAGCGUGAUGCUUCUGGUUUACAUGAGGUUCUCCUCAUUUAUUUGGGCUGUGGUAGCACAUAGAGGCUGAGCCUGGGGAUGGGAUGCUUCUGUGCAAGGUGCCUCCUCACCCUACCCCCAGUACUAGCCCUGAGCAUGAGUUUGUUAUAAUUGUGGCACAUCCAGUGAUGGCUUUGCCUAAAAUUGCUCAUCUUGCUCGCUCAGCACAUCUGCACUUUGACAUAGUUUUAAUUACUGAUACAAUUGGUGGCUUUAUUUCAAACGUGGGUAAUUUCAUUACCAGUUUUUAUACACCUUUUUAGUUCUUUGCCCAUGAGUUUCUCAAAGCAAAAUCAAAUGAAUCACUGACAUCAUCACUGUUCUUUCCUGAAAAUGGUUAUAAGGGAUGUGGCUUAAAACCUCCGGAGAUAUCAAGUAUGAUUUCAAUAGAUGUUUUUCUUAGAACAUACUGUACUACAACAUUAUCCACCUAUCACAUAACAGCCAUAACAAUCUUCCAAAAAAUAUAUAUUUUUAAGUAUGUACCCAUUUUUUCCAAUGCUAAAUUGUUAGGGCCCAAAAUAUUCAUCGCUCUGGGUGCAAAAAUUCAGAUAUACAUUUUUUUCCCCACUGGCAGUGGGCUUCUCAUACCGAGUGCUCAUCUUUCAUUCUUAAAACAUUGAUUUCUUUUUGAGCAACUGAAAACCACGUAGAUCUCCUAUGUAAAAAGGAAAAGACUAAAGCUGUUGUUGCAAUGGAUGGAGACAGAACGGGAGACCUUCUGAUGUGCACAGGCACAUCUUAGCACAGCACCACGCCAAACAAGUUAAUGGGCAACGUAUACAGUUCAUCCUAUGUCCAUAGUUGCUUUGAUAGCAUUUUGUGGAUAAGUGGAUUCUUAUAUUUUCUAUAAAUGGAUUCUUAUAUUUUCUAUAGAAGCAUUUUCUUGACAUAGCAAAAUUUCAUAGGUAAGUGAUGCUCCGUAAACACAUUUUACAUUGGCAUCUUACAGAGAAGCAGUGUUACAACUAAGGCAGCGGCCUUGACUCACGGGGUUAUGUGAGUGCAGUGGAAAAAAAGUUUGAAUCGUGGAAUGACAGAACAGUUUGGGUUGGAAGGGACCUCAAAGCCCUCCCAGCUCCAACCCCGUGCCAUGGGCAGGGCUGCCCCCCACCAGCUCAGCUGCCCAGGGCUGCAUCCAACCUGGCUUUGAGCACCUCCAGGGAUGGGGCACCACAGCUUCUCUGGGCAGCUGUGCCAGGGCCUCACCGUCCUGUGAGUAAAGAAUUCCCCCCCUUUAGAACUUUUGAUUUUUUUUUUUUUAAUUAUUAUUCCCAACAAACAAUCAGUGGGAAUGCUGCAAAUUCCCGAGCUUCGUUUCUAAUGGUAAUCACCAACUUUCCUUAACAUUUCUCCUUGAAGAAGUUUCUUUUGCACGCAGCCAAAGUGACGCUCUCCCCGGAGCUGGGUGCUCGGGGCCAUUUGGCUCCACAGCGUGCUGGCACGCAGUGAAGUUUUGAUUCCGGCUGUUUUAAUUAAAGCCUAUUUCCAUAGGAUUACUCCAGCGUGGAUCAGCUCCACGGUUCUGUUUGUUUUAAUAAACUCUCAGAGCUCUCCUCCUUCUAGAGAGAGAUUGUGCUGCAAACAAGGCAGCCCUGCGGUUCGUAGCAGAAACAUGGAAAUGCUGCCGUAAAAGAUGAAAAAAAAAAAGAAAAAAAAAAAAAGCUUUGAUGGAAUUCAUUACAAUCUAUGGACGAACAGAAACAACCUACAGCUCUAAGGCAGAUGGGCCGGCACAGGUGGGCAUGCAGCGGAGCGGGACGCCGGUACGUACCUGCAGGCAGCGCGGUGCCACGUCUCCCGGCCCGCUCGCUCCGCGGGACCUUUAUAGCGCUUUCCGGGGGCUAAAAAUAAACUUUAGGGGACGGCUAAGAGCUCGGGAGGGGGCGGCCGCGGGCUCUUACAGCGAUGCUCGAGCCACGCUCCGGCUCGGGGCCGGAGCUGCGCGGCUUCUGGGCGGUGUCGGCUGUCC
Gallus gallus (chicken) is the source of this 3572-nucleotide long non-coding RNA. Lineage: Eukaryota; Metazoa; Chordata; Aves; Galliformes; Phasianidae. The record is from Ensembl.